CCAAGGUCAUGCGCGAGCGAGUGCGAUUGCGCGCCGCAAUGCAGGAGCGGCCGGCAAACAGCGCGCCGUCAGUACUACGACGACAACGAUGCCCAUCGCAUCACCUUUCUAGAAAACAUUACUUUGUCAAUCCGAUAUUCCAAUAAGGGAAUCACAUUCCCCGUGCUUUGUUUGCAACGUGACAGAUCCGUGAACAGUCUGUGUAUGGCGUGCGACGGUAGCCGCAGACCAGUUAUGCAAUAGCUUGAAUACGCCGAAUUGCCGCGCUUCGGUGCUCCGUUUUGAAGACUUCCGCUUUCUAUUGCCUGAUUUUAAAUACAUCCGCAGAUUAGCUGUUCCUCGGCCAUAGCGGAACACCAGAUGUCAUGAGUCCAGCGCAAACACCCGAAGAGACCAUGAAGAUUGAGGAACAGAACAACAGCCUCGUAAACUCACUUUAGACGACGAAGCAUACUAAAAUUUUAGCCAGUUUAAUCUAACCGAUUAUCGAACCCAAGAAUUCGAUCGUUUAAUAUUAGCCAACGUUUCAUUGAAAACGUUAAUUAUAAAAAAAAGACUACAGUAACUUCCCUAACAUGCUUAAUAACUAUUCCAAUAGCUCAACCGCAUACUUAUAAGUAAAUUCGGAUAGUAAUUUGAUUAAUUAACAUUAAACAAUAGCUUAUUUUUAUACAGAACUGGACAGACGUUUGGCCACAAUCCCACCUGAUGUUAUGUGGGAUGCGGCCCAGGGCACGCCUGUCCAGGAGAUGCAGAUUAAUCACCGCCUAAAUUAACCAAUAUUAAACUCUUUAGGGAAAAUGAAAGGCGGCAAGGAGUUCCUCUCCUUUGCUGUGUUUACAAGAAUCGAGUUAGAUGAGCGAUAUUUGAAAGUACAGUCAAAACCGUUUACGACGACAUCGUUUAGAACAACAUACCGGUUAUAUUGACCAAAAUCAAAGGUCUCGGCUGAAUUCUAUGUAUAAGGUACUUAAUAACAACGUUGUCGGCUGUUACGACUACCGGUUUUUACGACAAAAUAUGAGUAGUACAUUCAAUGUCGUUAUAACAAAUUUUGACUAGUACUUAAUGCAGAUUGCCGAAACUACUGGAUCUUUAAAUCGCUACUACGCAAAGCAUAGCCCCAAAUGUAUAAUAGGCUUGGGUUAUUAGGAUAGAUUAGUAACUUUUCUACGAGAUUUCCAGACAUCCUUUGGGUUGACCGCAUUGGCAGUGUGGUUAGCUGGUUGUUAAGUAACGACCAACAGCCGCUAAUGGCACUGCCUCUGCGUCCUCCUUUAUUACAUCAGUCAACUGAACAAUGAAGCAGGAUUGGCGCCUCAAGCCUUCGACAGCUUUUACCCAUCAAGAACUAGCAGCGGUGAACUUCUCUAAUAAUAUAUUUCGACUAAUGUGUUAUAUUUAUUGUA
Long non-coding RNA from Pieris brassicae (large cabbage white), 1409 nucleotides. RefSeq lists it as uncharacterized. NCBI's taxonomy places the organism in Eukaryota, Metazoa, Arthropoda, Insecta, Lepidoptera, Pieridae. The record is from RefSeq and is a predicted model, not a curated record. The transcript is spliced from 4 exons.